CCUACGGGUGGCAGCAGUGGGGAAUAUUGCGCAAUGGGCGAAAGCCUGACGCAGCGACGCCGCGUGAGGGAUGAAUGUCUUCGGAUCGUAAACCUCUGUCAGCAGGGAAGAACGGUCACUGUGCUAAGCAGCAGUGAAUUGACGGUACCUGCAAAGGAAGCACCGGCUAACUCCGUGCCAGCAGCCGCGGUAAUACGGCGGGUGCGAGCGUUAAUCGGAAUUACUGGGAGUAAAGCGCUCGUAGGCGGUAUGUCAAGUCAAGGGUGAAAGCCCCGGGCUCAAGGUGGGAACUGCCUUUGAAACUGGCAAACUUGAGUGUGUGAGAGGAUAGUGGAAUUCGAGGUGUAGGAGUGAAAUCCGUAGAUAUCUGGAGGAACAUCAGUGGCGAAGGCGACUAUCUGGCACAUAACUGACGCUGAGGAGCGAAAGCGUGGGUAGCAAACAGGAUUAGAUACCCUGGUAGUC
This 465-nucleotide ribosomal RNA is filed under the name uncultured bacterium. RNAcentral's name for it is "partial 16S ribosomal RNA". It matches the Rfam family "Bacterial small subunit ribosomal RNA", at positions 338 to 795 of the family's 1533-position model. The record is from RNAcentral.